GCGGGAGAGCUCAGUCUGGUUAGACUACUCGUAGGAUCAAAGCACUACAUUGGUAAUGUAGGGGUCGCGGGUUCAAGUCCCGCCCGAGGCU
Molecule: transfer RNA, 91 nt
Filed under: Nitrososphaerota archaeon
Lineage: Archaea; Thermoproteati; Nitrososphaerota
Also listed under: 1 other name
Description: Thaumarchaeota archaeon tRNA-Thr
Rfam family: tRNA (bases 14-91)
About the family: Transfer RNA (tRNA) molecules are approximately 80 nucleotides in length. Their secondary structure includes four short double-helical elements and three loops (D, anti-codon, and T loops).
Source: RNAcentral